RNAcentral lists this ribosomal RNA (239 nucleotides) under Clostridioides difficile. RNAcentral describes it as "partial 16S ribosomal RNA". It matches the Rfam family "Bacterial small subunit ribosomal RNA", at positions 1304 to 1533 of the family's 1533-position model. The record is from RNAcentral. Lineage: Bacteria; Bacillati; Bacillota; Clostridia; Peptostreptococcales; Peptostreptococcaceae.
GCUGAAACUCGCCUACAUGAAGCUGGAGUUACUAGUAAUCGCAGAUCAGAAUGCUGCGGUGAAUGCGUUCCCGGGUCUUGUACACACCGCCCGUCACACCAUGGGAGUUGGAGACGCCCGAAGCCGAUUAUCUAACCUUUUGGAAGAAGUCGUCGAAGGUGGAAUCAAUAACUGGGGUGAAGUCGUAACAAGGUAGCCGUAUCGGAAGGUGCGGCUGGAUCACCUCCUUUCUAAGGAGA